UUAGUUGUAACACCGCACGUCCGUGAGUAACCUCUUAUCUCUGGGACGGCCUUGGGAAACUGGGUUUAAUACCGUAUCGGAGCGCCUACCCCUUGGAGGGUGUUGGAAAUAUUUAUCGGUUUUGGAUGGACUAGCGGACUWUCAACUUGUUGGUGAGGWAUGGCUCACCAAGGCGACGACGGAUAGCCAGCCUGCAGGGAGAACGGCCACCUGGGACUGAGACACAGCCCACACUCCUACGGGAGGCAGCAGUGGGGAAUAAUGCUUGRUGGGUGCAAGCCUUAUGCAUCCAUGCCKCGUGGUGAUACAGGCCUUCGGGUUGUAAACCUCUUUCUGUGGGAAAACRAAAGUGACGGUACCUGCCAMAAGCAACGACUUCUCWUGCCAKCACCUGGUAAUAUUUUGGWGCKAGUGUUAUCCGGAAUUAUUGUGCGUAARUAGCUCGUAWUUACUGUAUCUCGUCUGUCCUGAAAKGCCGGGUUUUAACCCCGGAUCUGKKGUGGGUAUCGGCAGACUAAAGUGCWKUAAGGRAAACUGACAUUACUGGUGUAGCGGUGGACGGCGCAGAUAUCAGGAGGAACMMYGAUGGCGAAGGCAGGUCUCUGGGCUGUAACUGACGCUGAGGAGCGAAAGCAUGGGGAGCGAACAGGAUUAGAUACCCUGGUAGUCCAUGCCGUAAACGUUGGGCACUAGGUGUGGGGACCAUUCCACGGUUUCCGCGCCGCAGCUAACGCAUUAAGUGCCCCGCCUGGGGAGUACGGYCGCAAGGCUAAAACUCAAAGGAAUUGACGGGGGCCCGCACAAGCGGCGGAGCAUGCGGAUUAAUUCGAUGCAACGCGAAGAACCUUACCAAGGCUUGACAUGUUCUCGAUCGCCGUAGAGAUACGGUUUCCCUUUUGGGGCGGGUUCACAGGUGGUGCAUGGUUGUCGUCAGCUCGUGUCGUGAGAUGUUGGGUUAAGUCCCGCAACGAGCGCAACCCUCGUUCCAUGUUGCCAGCACGUAAUGGUGGGGAUUCAUGGGAGACUGCCGGGGUCAACUCGGAGGAAGGGGAGGACGACGUCAAAUCAUCAUGCCCCUUAUGUCUUGGGCUUCACGCAU
This 1099-nucleotide ribosomal RNA is filed under the name Micrococcus luteus. RNAcentral describes it as "partial 16S ribosomal RNA". It matches the Rfam family "Bacterial small subunit ribosomal RNA", at positions 86 to 1223 of the family's 1533-position model. Lineage: Bacteria; Bacillati; Actinomycetota; Actinomycetes; Micrococcales; Micrococcaceae. The record is from RNAcentral.